RNAcentral lists this ribosomal RNA (442 nucleotides) under uncultured prokaryote. RNAcentral describes it as "bacterial SSU rRNA". It matches the Rfam family "Bacterial small subunit ribosomal RNA", at positions 355 to 796 of the family's 1533-position model. The record is from RNAcentral.
UGGGGAAUCUUGCGCAAUGGAGGAAACUCUGACGCAGCUACGCCGCGUGCAGGAAGACACCCCUACGGGGCGUAAACUGCUUUUCUGUGGGAAGAAGAUCUCGUUCUUCGAGGUUUGACGGUACCACAGGAAUAAGGACCGGCUAACUCCGUGCCAGCAGCCGCGGUAAUACGGAGGGUCCAAGCGUUGUCCGAAAUUACUGGGUGUAAAGGGUGUGCAGGCGGAGCGGACAGUCAGAAGUGAAAGCCCACGGCUCAACCGUGGAAGUGCUUUUGAUACUACCGUUCUUGAGUCUCGGAGAAGUUACCGGAAUUCGUGGUGUAGCGGUGAAAUGCGUAGAUAUCACGAGGAAUACCAGAAGCGUAGGCGGGUAACUAGACGAUGACUGACGCUCAGGCACGAAAGCGUGGGGAGCAAACAGGAUUAGAUACCCCCGUAGUCC